UUUUAUUCUUCUUGUUCUGUCCGUCUCCCCCUCUCGUUCUUCACUCUCCCUCCCCUGUUGAUGAGAAGCAAAAGAAAAUCACAAUUUCUUUCCACGAACUCCGAAAACCCAUUUAUGGGAUUGAAAUGGUUGUUCUAAGAAAUUGUCACUUGUUCUUUCAAGACGUGGUGAUUGAUUUAUGUUGCUAUCUGCGUUACGAGUUUGGAGCUAGCUCGAUGCAGUAAGCCGGAAAGCUUACGAUAAGGGAGUUAUGGACACAAUAUUGGGCAUAACCCUUGUGACUGUUGUCUACUGAAAUUGUUGCGAAGCACUGGAAGCACCAAUUCAGCUGGAAAGGAACUUUAUCCUAAUUUUAGAACCAAGUGCGUCAAAUAUAAUUUGGAGUAACGAAAGGCUGUACAAGAUAUGUGGCUGGAAUCGCAUUCACUUGGAAGUUUUGACACUAAUUGGGUUUCACUGGAUGCACGAAUUUUUCUCACCAACCGUUUGAUGAAAACUCUGAGGAUCGGGAUGGAUACAGGUACCUCCUUUUCUUCUUCGAACUAUCCAGGUUUUAGAAGAAUUGACGUAGGCCAAGCAAAAUCGAGUUUAAAAGGAAGUGAUUGCGGAUUAUUGACAAACAAGCAAGACCUCGAGAUACGGACCUCCAAUAUGGUGAUCAUGUUUCCACGACAUCAAAGCUUGGAAAAGGCAACUUAUGAAAUGGAAUUUUAAAGGCAAGAAUGGUAUCGCAAACUAUAUUGAGGCUCGAGUCUAACCCACGCAUUUGUUGCUGGGAUCGCGCAACGUGGGUGCAUGAAUCCUAAUGUUGUCGUGCCUUGCAUUUGGAAUCGAGUUGAGUGCCUUGAGUCAUAGGUUGGGUGUCAUUAACUCAUUUAGCCGUCCCUUAUAAUUAGAGAAGAGUCUAAUUAGUGUUUCCAUGCACUUGACUAAGACUAUAGUUGACUACUUGACACCUAUGUGUCACAAGAAAAGAAUGGACAUUCUCGUCGUUUCAAAGUUUUUUUGUUCGUAAAUGUAAAAAGAUAAAUUUUAUUCUUCUUGUUUUGUCCGUCUCCCCUUCUCGUUCUUCAAUCUCCCCCUGCUGAUGAGAAGCAAAAGAAAAUCACAAUUUCUUUCCACGAACUCCGAAAACCCAUUUAUGGGAUUGAAAUGGUUAUUCUAAGAAACUAUCACUUGUUCUUUCAAGACGUGUUGAUUGAUUUAUGUUGCUAUCUGCGUUACGAGUUUGGAACUAGCUCGAUGCAGUAAGCCGGAAAGCUUACGAUAAGGGAGCUAUGGACAAAAUAUCGGUAUAUGUUGUUGUUCUUGUAUAUACAUAUAUCAUGGGCUGUGUUGGGUAGUUUUCCUAUGGGUGCUAAAUGAUAUUUUCUUUACAUGUAUUUCUGCCUGUACAUGUGUACAAAUUAAAGAAUAAUAUCGGGUUAGAAGGAAUAAUUUUUACACUCCU
Long non-coding RNA from Papaver somniferum (opium poppy), 1450 nucleotides. RefSeq lists it as uncharacterized. The transcript has 7 exons. NCBI's taxonomy places the organism in Eukaryota, Viridiplantae, Streptophyta, Magnoliopsida, Ranunculales, Papaveraceae. The record is from RefSeq and is a predicted model, not a curated record.